This 762-nucleotide long non-coding RNA is filed under the name Oryctolagus cuniculus (rabbit). RNAcentral's name for it is "lncRNA (ENSOCUG00000034190.1)". The record is from RNAcentral. Lineage: Eukaryota; Metazoa; Chordata; Mammalia; Lagomorpha; Leporidae.
CCUGUCAUACCAGAAAGGCCAGUCACGUGAUUUAAGAGUUGCGACUUUGAGCCACAGGAUAUCAAUUCACCUCUAGGGAAAGGUGCUGGAGACUGAAAUCAACAAUGUAAACAAGAACUCCAUCAGCCUUGCCAGUCUAAGGAAGCUUCAAUAAAAUCUCUGGAUCCAAAGCUGGAGUGGAUGUGGGCAGUGAAUGCAGGCAGCAAUUCCCAUGCAGACUGAUGUCAAGGGGAUAUCAUGUGCCUUUCAAAUACAGAAGCUUUGGAACGCUCCCCCGAAUUCCACAUUCGGUCCCAUGUGUUUCCUCCUUUGUUUCUAAUUUAUAUCUCUCAUUGUAACAAAACAAUGCAAAGUACAGUGCCUUCUUGAACUCUGUGUCAUUCUAGUAAACUAUCAAACAUCAGGGUAGUCAUGGAAACCCUCAAAUGUGUAGGAAUCUGCUCUGAAUUAACAUUGGCCCUUGUAACUCUAACAUUUGCAACUGAUAUCUAAGUUCAUGGGCAGAUGUGGACCUGUGGAGGCUCAUACUCUUUAUUUCAAGUCUGUCCUAACUUUGGGUAGAAGAUGCCCAAGCAAGAGUACUACAGUAAGUGUGUACACACAUAGGAAUGUUUCCAUUUAUUCAAGACUCACCUUCAGAUCCUGAUGCCAAACUGAAACAAAAUUCUGCCUUUUUUGGCUUCAAGAAGAAGUCUAAUAAAGCUUCCAUCCCAGUGAAAAAUAUCUGUUUGAGAAGAACACUCACUGGAUAUGCAGUCUAGU